UGAUGUCUGAAAAGGUGGGGUUGCAGAGUGCUGGCCAGCUUCCGACCGUCUCUCCCUGAAGCCGCCCCGGGGGAAGGUGCGGAGGACGCAGACAGCGGGCCCGAGAGCCGCAGCGGGGGCGAGGAGACCAGCGUGUGCGAGAAAUGCUGC
RNAcentral lists this non-coding RNA (150 nucleotides) under Pan troglodytes (chimpanzee). The record is from RNAcentral. RNAcentral also lists the same sequence under 1 other name. Lineage: Eukaryota; Metazoa; Chordata; Mammalia; Primates; Hominidae.